This 25367-nucleotide long non-coding RNA is filed under the name Zostera marina. RNAcentral's name for it is "long non-coding RNA (ZMAR_LNC003792)". The record is from RNAcentral. Lineage: Eukaryota; Viridiplantae; Streptophyta; Magnoliopsida; Alismatales; Zosteraceae.
UUAUUCCUUUUCUUUCUUUCUUUCUUUCUUUCUUGUAGAUUUCGUCCUUACCAAACGACGGGCGACGGUUAUGGUUGCGGCGUUUGUUUUGAUUUUUUGGUGCAGGUAGAUUUUCUUUGGUCAUCUUGGUUAUGCUGUCAUGGUGGAUUUGCAUUCCCUUCGGAUCCAGAUCUGAUCAAGGCGAUUUAGCGGAGAAAAAGAAAGGAUGCUGCCUGCGAUCUCGAUUUGACUUUUUAGCAAAUGAUGGUGAACGAUUGAUUGAUUCUCUUUGUUCAUGAAUUGUCGAUUAAUGUGUAUUUGUGAUUACGAUGUGUCAUAACAACUCGAUCUUUGCCAUGUUGGGUGCGCUCGCAUGGCAGAUCACCGGAAACUUUAAUAAAGUUCAGUUUUUUUGGUUGGGAGAGAAGACCACGGUUGGAUAGUUUUUUUUAUAUCCCCGGGGUCUUUCUCUCCAUGGUGGCAUGGUCUUUAUUUUUUUUAUCGCCUUUUUCCAUGGUUUCCGUUUCGUCUCUUUCUAUCUAUCGUCUCACGACAAGAGUUUUCCGAUCGAUUCGAUUCUGAGCCAGGUCGAACUGGUAAAUGAUUUAUUUUUCAUAAGUCGAUUCCAUACGUUCCCUCAAAUCGCAAACCCCCAAAAAUUGCAUACCAUCAUUAAAUUAUUCAUACUAAAUUAAUUGCUCACGGAUCUAAUUUACUGUGUAUUGAAGAAUUUGAUGUCGUUUUCUAUUUUUUUUGUUUGUUAAUUUUGUCAAUUGUAAAUUUUCUAUCCUACAUCUGUAAGAGUUUUUUUGUACCUCCAUAUUUGUUACAUUUGUAUAAUUUAUUUGCUGUGCAAAGUCUUGACGGUUGCUGUUUGUGGCUCGUGGCUUGAUGAUGUAUUGAUUGAAGAAAAUCUUGCUAUGGAUGGUGGAAGAGUGGCUGGUUGCUGUUUGUUCCCGUGACUUGAUGAUGUUUUGUUUGAAAGAAAAUCUUGCUGUGGAUGAGGGAAGACUAACUGGACUGCACAGGUUGUUUUAAUUACAACUUCACAAUUUCUACAUUACUCUUCUUUUUGUCAGAAAUUAAGUAUCUGGGUUUAUAUUUUUCAAUCAUUGUGAGUUUUUCAUUUUUUUCUUAAUACAGUUUUAUCCUAUUUUGGUUAUUUACAGUAAUUUGCUCAUUAAUCUGGCUUUCAAUUUAUUUCAAUAUCUUUAAAUAUUACACUUCUUUUUGUCAGAAAUCAAGUACUGAGUUUAUAUUUUUCAAUCAUUGUGAUCUUUUCAUUUUAUUGGUAAAACAGUUUUAUCCUAUUUUUGUUAUUUUCAGCAAUUUGCUCAUUAAUUCGGCUUUCAAUUUAUUUCAUUCUCUUUACAUAUUACAUGAUUCAGAAGACCCAAUUGUUCUUUAACUCCGCCCAUGGUGUAUUAGAAGUAAACCAUUGCCGGUCCCCAGCCCGGAACAAAGGAGGAGGGAAGGAUAUCAUAUUUAUGGUAGAUCGUUGUUUUUUUUACUCUUAUGAUUUUUUUAAUCCCAGUAGUUACAUAUUUCUAAAUAUUUGAGUGAUUUUACCAUGAUGAAAAGAUAUGGGAGGUGGAAUGCCUAUGAUCGUCAAUUCACUUGAUCAUUGAAGUCGUCCUGCUGGAGUUUGAUGAUUUUGUUUCACAAUUUACAUAUAGAAUUACUUGUUUACUAUUUGAACUUGAUUCUUGGUAUUAAAAUAAUUAAAACUAUUGUUUGUUAUUAGAUAUUUUAAUCAGAUUAAUUUUAUAAUUCAAUCGAAAAAUGUAUUGUGUUGGUUCGUGAUUUGUUAAGAUUUCAUAUUUUAUUAUUGAAAGUGCUUAUAGAAGAGUUAUUGAUAUUGAAUGAGGUAUUCUCACGUGUACAAGGAAAACUUUGUAUGUAGAUUGAAAAUGAGUCUUUAUGGCACGAAACAAGAACAGAGACCGAGGUACAUGUAUGUGAUUUGACUCUAUUACAACGGUGUCUAGGCUAUAAGAAGUAUAACAAUGAUCCCUGUUAGGGGUGAGAAAACCUAAUUCUAACCUUAACCGUAUACAGUACCCAGUCGGUCAGGUACUCGGUCAGGUAAGGGUACAAGGACGCAAAAUUCCCGAUCAUUGUUAUAUUGGUAUGGGUAUUAAAAUCUACCUCAGAAAAAUAUUACAAGCUAAUUAGAAGAGGGUUGAUAUUGUAUUUAAGGAAAGAACUUGGAUAUGGAUUAAACUCCAAACCUACAGACAGGAGUCUGUUGUUAAUAGGGUACACAACAAACUUGAACGGAAGUAUUUUAGUCCUUAUCAAGUCGAAAGAAAAAUUAAUAAUGCUGCUUAUAAAUUGAAGUUGUUGAAAGGAAGUAAGAUACAUGAUAUAUACCUUUCAUAUGUCAAGGCUCAAGGUAUUCCAAGGAACCAUUCCCGAAGAGGUGACUACUGAGAAGUGAGAACCCAUUGGUGACUGUCAACAAUCGACCUAUCAUAUAUCCUAUGGCCAUAUUAGAUAUAUGAGUUUAUUUGGCAAGGUAAAAAUAAAAUCAAACAGGAAGUGAGUCUUUAAUUACCAGAGGACUCUGUUAAAAAGCUGACGUUGAUCCAACGACGGGAUUGGGAGAUGGGAGACGACUCCGGCGACAAAGCUCGCCGUCCGGCGAGAAAUAGAAUGAGAAAGAGGGAAAGAAGUAGGUUAAUUAGAUUAACUACUAAAGUAGCCGUUAUACACUGUAGAAGUGUAAUUAGCUACUAAGUGUGUAAUCUGUGUAAAAUCAUAUAUCUUAAACUUGUUAAUUACAAGAGUUAUUUAAACUGAAAUUAACACUAACUAACUUAACUAAUACAACUAAUAACAUUAAUCGGUUAAUUGGAUCUUUAAUCAGACAUUGAUCCAAAUACCCAAUUACUUUUAUUUAAGUGGGUAAACUUGCAGUUUGAUCCUCGUACUCUUCUAUAUUCUUUUACGGCCUUUAAGUGGGUAAACUUGCAGUCCAGUCCUUGUAUUUCUUUUAUUCUGUUAAGUGGGUAAACUUGCAGUUUUAGUCCUCGUUCUUUUGUAUAAUCUUUGAUGGCCUUUAAGUGGGUAAACUUGCAGUUCAGUCCUCACGUUCCUUUUUAUUUUGUUAUUUGUUUUUAAGUGGUAAAGAUUGCACAUUGAACCUUACAGUUUCUUUCUUAGUUAAAACUGUAAGUAUCUCUGUUUUACUUAUUCUCAAUUAAGUCCAAUUCAGUAAUUAUGUGUUAAUUACUUCUUUACUCCCCCCUCAAGCUCUGGAGUAGAUAUUUAUUACUCCAAGUUUGACAGAGGCUGAAGUAAUUUCAUGUUCCCCCAUGGGUUUAGUGAACAUGUCUGCUAAUUGAUAUUUGGUUCCAAUUUGCUUAAGAUUGAAUACCCCUUGGGUGAUUAAUUCUCUAACAAAAUGGCAAUCUAUUUCUAUAUGCUUUGUUCUCUCAUGGAAAACAGGGUUAUUAGCAAGGUGAAUUGCUGAUUUGUUAUCACAAAAUAUUGUUGUUUCAUUUCUAGUUUUUAUUUUCAUUUCUUUAAUUAGUUGGUGAAUCCAUACUAAUUCACAAGAUGUUUGAGCUAUUGCUCUAUACUCAGCUUCACAAGAUGAUCUUGAUAUUGUAGCUUGCUUUUUGGAUUUCCAAGAUAUUAUGGAGCUUCCAAUUAGGAUGCAAAACCCAGUUACAGAUUUUCUGCUAAUUUGGCAUCCAGCCCAGUCAGAAUCACAAUAGGCUUGGAUGUUCAAGUUUUCACUUGUUUUAUAUAGAAUGCCCUGCCCUGGGGCUCCUUUUAAAUAUCUCAGUACUUUAAAGAGUGUUUUUAAAUGAAUUUCUCUUGGAUCACUCAUGAAUUGACUUAGCCAGUGUACUGCAUAGCUUAGGUCAGGUCUGGUGAUGUUAAGAUAUAUUAGCUUUCCCACUAACUUCCUAUAGAAGGUUGGAUCUUUUAUUGGUUUGGAUUCACUUUUGAGAUCUAUAUUUUUCUCAAUGGGUAUUUUGGACUCUUUUGCACCUAAGAUGCCACUUUCCUUAAGUAUUUCUAGUGCAUAUUUUCUUUGUGUUAAUAAGGUUCCUUCACUGGAAUAUAAUACUUCUAUUCCUAGAAAGUAGUUUAGUUUUCCAAGAUCCUUUAGUUUAAAUUUAUUUUCUAGUUGAAUUUUGAGGAAUGCUAUUUCUAGCUCAUUACUGCCUGUGAUGAUUAUAUCAUCUACAUAGACAAUUAGGUAUAUUAAAUUUUCAUUUCUCUCUCUUAUGAAUAGAGAGUAAUCUGAUUUUGUUUGAGAGAAUCCAAUCUCUAAUAGAGUGUUUCUCAGUUUCUCAAACCAGUUUCUAGAGGCCUGUUUGAGGCCAUAUAAGGAUUUUUUGAGUUUACAUACUCUUUUAUCUCCUUCUUGGAGUAAUCCUUGAGGUGCCUUUAGAUAUACUUCCUCAUGGAGAUCACCAUGUAGGAAGGCAUUAUUGACAUCUAUUUGAUAUAGAUUCCAUCUUUUUUGUGUUGCAAGAGUAAUUAAUAGCCUUACUGUGGUCAUUUUUGCAACUGGUGCAAAAGUUUCAUAGAAAUCAAAUCCCUCUUUUUUGAGAGAAACCUUUUGCCACUAGCCUUGCUUUAUAUCUCUCAAUUUCUCCAUUUGGCUUAUACUUGAUUUUGUAUAUCCAUUUAGAGCCUACUGCUUUCCUUCCUUUAGGAAGUUCAGUUAUAUCCCAAGUUUUAUUUGAGAUGAGGGCUUCCAUCUCAUUUUUCAUUGCAUCUAUCCAUUUUGGAUCUUUAGAUGCUUCAUUAUAUGUGUUAGGUUCUAUAUUGUUAUUAACUUGUUUGAGAAAUUCCUUGUGUUUGGGAUUUAUCCUAUGAUAUGAUACAUAGUUGCUCAUGGGGUAUUUAAUUUUGCUUUUUGACUUAUCAUCCAUAUAGAAUUCAUCAAAAUGCUUGGGUUUAGUUACUACCCUCCCCAACCUUGNNNNNNNNNNNNNNNNNNNNNNNNNNNNNNNNNNNNNNNNNNNNNNNNNNNNNNNNNNNNNNNNNNNNNNNNNNNNNNNNNNNNNNNNNNNNNNNNNNNNNNNNNNNNNNNNNNNNNNNNNNNNNNNNNNNNNNNNNNNNNNNNNNNNNNNNNNNNNNNNNNNNNNNNNNNNNNNNNNNNNNNNNNNNNNNNNNNNNNNNNNNNNNNNNNNNNNNNNNNNNNNNNNNNNNNNNNNNNNNNNNNNNNNNNNNNNNNNNNNNNNNNNNNNNNNNNNNNNNNNNNNNNNNNNNNNNNNNNNNNNNNNNNNNNNNNNNNNNNNNNNNNUCCCUCUUUUUGAGAGAAACCUUUUGCUACUAGCCUUGCUUUAUAUCUCUCAAUUUCUCCAUUUGGCUUAUACUUGAUUUUGUAUAUCCAUUUAGAGCCUACUGCUUUCCUUCCUUUAGGAAGUUCAGUUAUAUCCCAAGUUUUAUUUGAGAUGAGGGCUUCCAUCUCAUUUUUCAUUGCAUCUAUCCAUUUUGGAUCUUUAGAUGCUUCAUUAUAUGUGUUGGGUUCUAUAUUGUUAUUAACUUGUUUGAGAAAUUCCUUGUGUUUGGGAUUUAUCCUAUGAUAUGAUACAUAGUUGCUCAUGGGGUAUUUAAUUUUGCCUUUUGACUUAUCAUCCAUAUAGAAUUCAUCAAAAUGCUUGGGUUUAGUUACUACCCUCCCCAACCUUGUUUUUACAAUUUUAUUUGUUUCAGUCUUGCUUUGUGUAUCAUUAUUUUGAGGUAAUUGUUCCUUUUCUUCAUGAUUGGUUGCAAAGCUUUGUUCUGAGCUUUGUUUUUCAGUAUGUGCCUUUUUUUCUUGAUUAUUGAUGAGGAGUUGGUUUUGAUUCUUAUUAGAGUAAUUGUUUUCAAAAUCCUCUGAAAUAUGUGAUUUUUCUUUUUCAGUUGAGGACUGGUCAGACUGAUUAUUUUCAGUUAUUUCUGACUUGUCCAGAGCAAUCCUGUUUUGAUUUUUAUGAAAUCCAGGAUGUUCUAUAGUUUGUUCUGCGGUUCCUAGAGUGUUUUGUGUUUUGGAUUCCUUAUUAUCCAAUUUUUCUGAAAUUUUUAUUGAAAUUCCAGAGUUUUGUGUUGCUCUAGAAUCUAAUUCAUUGAAUGCUUCUUGAAUUGGGAAUAUGUUCCUUUCUCUAUUUUCAUUAAUUUUUGGUUUUAUUUGAUGGAGUGGAAAAAUAUCUUCUCUAAACACUACAUCUCUACUUAUAUGAAAUUUUUCAUUUUCUAAGUCAAGUAUUAAAUAUCCUUUUGUGUUUGGAGGAUAUCCCAUGAAUAUUCCCUUAAAUGUUCUUGGGGAAAACUUAUGUUCUUUAUGAUGUGUUGUUGCAUAGCAUAAGCAUCCAAAAGUUCUUAAGAGGUUAUAUUUUGGUUUUUGCUCAUGUAGAACUUCAAAUGGGGUUUUAUUUUCUAGAACUUUUGAUGGAAUCCUAUUUAUUAUAUAGGUUGCAGCUAAUAUGCACUCUCCCCAAUAUUUUAAAGGAAUAUUAGCUUGCAUAUGUAAAGCUCUAGCUAUGUUUAAUAGGCACUUGUGUUUUCUUUCAACCCUUGCAUUUUGCUGAGGGUUGUAAGGACAAGUGACUUGAUGUAUGAUUCCAUAGCUCUCAAGCAUUUCUCUAAAUUUAUUUGAUUUAAAUUCACCCCCAUUAUCACUCCUUAUUGCUUUAAUAUUUUUAUUAAAAAAGUUUUUGACUUUAGUUAUGAAUUUCUUAAUACAUUCAUAAGCAAUGGCUUUGUCUUUAAUUAAGUAAAUCCAAGUUGAUCUACUUAGAUCUUCUACAAUGGUUAAAAAAUAUUUGAAACCAUCAUGAGUUUCAAUUGGGAAUUUGCCCCAAAUAUCAAUAUGGAUUAGAUCAAAUAGAUUUUUACUCACUACAAAAAACCAGCGCAGUUCUGGCGGCAAAUUCCGGCGGCCUGGCCGCCGGUAUAAUGGUUCCUGGCGGCCAAGCCGACGACAUUCCAUCGCCGGAAGUGAUGUCGCCGGAAUUGUGAAAUCCUGGCGGCUUGGCCGACGGCAAAAAAAUUUGGAUUCCGAUUUUAACAGAAAUUGUCCCGGCGGCUUAGUCGNNNNNNNNNNNNNNNNNNNNNNNNNNNNNNNNNNNNNNNNNNNNNNNNNNNNNNNNNNNNNNNNNNNNNNNNNNNNNNNNNNNNNNNNNNNNNNNNNNNNCGUCUAACCUACGUUCUUCCGUAGGUGAGGUUUACUCUUGGACACUUGCCCCUCUGUCUACAUUUUUGUAGAAUGGGGUGUGUGUUUAGCCGACGUGUCCCCCGUCUAACCUACGUUCUUCCGUAGGUGGGGUUCACUUUUGCCGAUGUGUUCCCCGUCUAACCUACGUUCUUCCGUAGGUGGGGUUCACAUUUGCCGAUGUGUUCCCCGUCUAACCUACGUUCUUCCGUAGGUGGGGUUCACUUUUGAGUACGUCCCUCGUCUAACACUACGUUUCCGUAGGUGAGGUUCACUCUUUGCCGAUGUGUUCCCCGUCUAACCUACGUUCUUCCGUAGGUGGGGUUCACUUUUUAGUAUAUCCCUCGUCUAACACUACGUUUCCGUAGGUGAGGUUCACUCUUUGCCGAUGUGUUCCCCGUCUAACCUACAUUCUUCCGUAGGUGGGGUUCACUUUUGAGUAUAUCCCUCGUCUAACACUACGUUUCCGUAGGUGAGGUUCACUCUUGCCUUGGAUGGGAUACGCAUCCUGACUCUGUUACCAUUAAGACUUUCUCUAUCCACGUUCUUCCGUAGGUAGAGUUAAUUUGGCGUCUUACUUUGUUACUGCGUCCAGUAAUAGUAGGAGUUCAAAUAUCUCUAUAUGGCUCAGCUCAUUUUGCUGCCGUAUCCCUGUCCGAGUUGUGGACUUCCACGAUUCCUCAGGAGCAUUUUGUGUUACACCCUCCUGUCUUGGUGUGCCUCCGCAACUCCAACCUGUCUGGGUUCUUUUUUCUGCACCCCUUUUAUGUGGGAAGAAAAAGUCUAUCCCUUGUUGAUUCUGCUCGACUUUUGCUAAAUGUCGAUCCCUUAGCGAGUUUGGUCGACUUUUCGAAAUGUCGAUCCCUUGUUGAAUUUGGUCGACUUUUGUCAAAAGUCGAUCCCUUGUGAUAAAAAGUCGAUUUAGACAUUUUUGUCCUUUUGUGCUGUCCUAGGGUCUAUAAAUAGGACCCCUAGGUUCUUCUUUUCCUUCAUCCAUCCAUGGCUCUUCUUGUGAGUCUCUUUGCUGAUUUUAUUCAGNNNNNNNNNNNNNNNNNNNNNNNNNNNNNNNNNNNNNNNNNNNNNNNNNNNNNNNNNNNNNNNNNNNNNNNNNNNNNNNNNNNNNNNNNNNNNNNNNNNNNNNNNNNNNNNNNNNNNNNNNNNNNNNNNNNNNNNNNNNNNNNNNNNNNNNNNNNNNNNNNNNNNNNNNNNNNNNNNNNNNNNNNNNNNNNNNNNNNNNNNNNNNNNNNNNNNNNNNNNNNNNNNNNNNNNNNNNNNNNNNNNNNNNNNNNNNNNNNNNNNNNNNNNNNNNNNNNNNNNNNNNNNNNNNNNNNNNNNNNNNNNNNNNNNNNNNNNNNNNNNNNNNNNNNNNNNNNNNNNNNNNNNNNNNNNNNNNNNNNNNNNNNNNNNNNNNNNNNNNNNNNNNNNNNNNNNNNNNNNNNNNNNNNNNNNNNNNNNNNNNNNNNNNNNNNNNNNNNNNNNNNNNNNNNNNNNNNNNNNNNNNNNNNNNNNNNNNNNNNNNNNNNNNNNNNNNNNNNNNNNNNNNNNNNNNNNNNNNNNNNNNNNNNNNNNNNNNNNNNNNNNNNNNNNNNNNNNNNNNNNNNNNNNNNNNNNNNNNNNNNNNNNNNNNNNNNNNNNNNNNNNNNNNNNNNNNNNNNNNNNNNNNNNNNNNNNNNNNNNNNNNNNNNNNNNNNNNNNNNNNNNNNNNNNNNNNNNNNNNNNNNNNNNNNNNNNNNNNNNGAAUAAAAUAAACAAACACUAAAUUAAAAUGAAUUAAACCUAAAUAACAUAAAUCAUGUACACUUAAUUAUUCAAUAACACUUCAAUAACAUAAAUCAUGUACACUAAAUAACAUAAAUCAUUCAUUAUUCAAUAACACUCAAUAGUAACAAAUAACAAUAACACAUACAUAAAUAACAAUAUAAGAUACAACACAUACACUCAUCAUGGUAUUUUAUUUAAAAGAAAUCUGAUUUAAACCUUAGGAUUGCUACAACACAUAUAAGAUACACAUAGAAAGCAAAAGAGCAUCAUGAUAUUUUAUUUGAGAAAUCUGAUUUAAGUGCACAGUAACUUAAGUGCACAGUAACUUAUAUAACUAUUUAAGUGCAUGUGAUCCAUUUAAGUGCAUGUGAUCCAUUUAAGUGCACAGUAACAGUGUAAUCAACUAUUACCGAUUCUUUCAAAGUAACUUUAUUUACUUGUUUAGUCACACGUAGUCCUACUAAAUCAAUUGAAAAAAAUAAUGACGAACAAGAAAAAUAUUCGAUCAGUCAUUUAUGAGUCAGCAAGGCAUAAGACUAGUCUGUAGUCGAUGACAUGAUCGGAAGGUAGACCAUAGGGAUGUAUAAUCUUUUGAUUUAUGAUUAAUGAGAGUUCAAAAUAUUCCCCUAGAAUAUAAUUAAUGAUUUAAUGUAUAGUGUUUUAUAUUGGAGGCUUGGAGCAGGUGAGCCACGGUCAAUGUUUUUGAGAUUUUGAGAAAAUUUAAAACCCUGAAAUCCAUAAAUACCUAAAUUGAAAAAUUGGUAAAUAUCUAAAUGAAUAACUAAGAAGAAGAGUCUACAAAAAGAGAAGAUUUCUGAGAAGGAGUGGUCGAAGGCAAUGAGGAUAUCAGCAUUGGCGAUCCACAUGGGGACGAAUGGGAGGUCAAGCCCCAAUACGGAUUUAUUUAACUAAGCUUCAUAUAAAACACAAACAGAGAAAGAUAUCUAACUAAGGUCAUAGCUAACAGAAAAUAGACCAUGUGAUUAUACUUUGAUAAUUAAAAUUACAGGGAGAAACUAACUAAGAUCCAUGAUUUAUAAAAUUAGAUGAAAAGGAUAAUACACUGAGAUAAAAUACAACAGAUUCAUUCUACAAAACUCAUGAAAAUGAUAAACCUGAAAAUGAGAGAAAGGAAAUGAGAGGAUCGCGAGUUUUAGGGAGAAAGGACGAUUGGGAUUUUAGUUAUGGUUUAUAUUUUAUUCAGAGUAAAUUCCUUUAGGAAAUGAGAGAAAAAGAUGAAGAACCCCAAAUCCCAAAAUCAAAAAACCCCAAAUCAUAAACCUCAAAUCAUAAACAACAACAAAAAAUGAGAGAAAAGGAUGAAGAACAUACCUUUAGGAAUAACUUCGAAGAUCACCGGAGAUAAAUGGCUGGAAGAUCACCGGAGACAAGUUGGGGGAGGGUUUGGGUGGAGUGGGAGAAGUGGAGAGGAUUUUGGGAGGAAAUAAAAUGAAACGAUUCUGGAAUUUUUUUCUUAUAUAAAAAAUUUCCGGCGGCCAGGCCGUCGGGAAACACUAAAGUUUAGUUUGACUGUACGGGGGACCACGACGGCGCAAGUUGUAAAUUUAGGGUUUUCCAAAAAUUUCUGGCGGCCAGGCCGCUGGCUACUGAAAAAAACAAGCGGGAAAAAGUAUCCAGCGGCCAGGCCGCCGGGAAUUUUUCUCCCGACCGUUGUUGAAUUGGAGCUGGCGGCCAGGCCGCUGGAAUUUUUUACAAAAAAAUAUUCCGUCGGCCUAGCCGCCAGAAAUUUUCUCUCAUUUACGAGGGAAAAUUAUGCAGGCGGACAAGUGUAAGAUUCCGGCGGCCAGGCCGACGAAAGUAUCUACCGGCGGCCAGGCCGCCGGGAGAUGGGCGCCAGAACUGCGCUGAUUUUUUGUAGUGACUUAUUGUUGAACUUUUGGGGUAUUUGAGUUUACUUUGUUUAGAUAAUGGGCAAAUAUCACAUUCUUUAUUUUGAAAAAACGAAAUUUUAUUAUCACAAUCAUCCAAAACAACAUUCUUUACAUUUUUAAGAAUACAAUCUACUUGCUGAUUUUUAACUAAUAUAGCAAGCUUUUCAUUUGAUAUAUGUCCAAGCCUGUUAUGCCAGACUUUAGAGUGUAUAGAUGUGUUUGCAUAUGCUGAGGGAGUGUAGUUGAACAGAUAGAGUCCAUCUUGGCACCUACCCUUCCCAAUCACUCUCUUUGACUUGUUUUCCUGAAAAUAACAAUUUUCAUUAUCAAAUAGUAUUUUCAGUUUAUUAUCAAGAACUAUCUUGCUUACUGAUAUUAAGUUUACCUUAAAUUGAGGUAUGUAUAACACAUCUUCUAAAAUUAUGUUUUUAGAAAUUGUUAUUUUUCCUGUGAAUUUUGUGUUGCAUAUCUCACCACUUGGGAUGGUGACAAAAUGAUCACCACUCUCAGUUGGUGGUUUAUCAAAGUACUUGAGGUUCCCAGUCAUGUGUUGGGAGGCCCCAGUAUCUAUGAUCCAAUUUGUUCUAAAAUUUAUCAUAUUAUAAGCAUGGUUCAUUUUAAAAUUCAAAAAAUUGAAAGCAUAAAUCAUACCAUUUGAUUGGAAGAAGUCUUUGAGCAUUCGUAGCUCUUCAUUUGACAUCCCUGGUAUUAUAGAUGUUGAGGAAGAGGCUUGAUUGGCUGAGUCAGUUUUAGCCUUUUUGAACCUAUUCCCUUUCUUGUUUUCUUUGUUUUUGUCAUUUGGGAAGCCUAUGAUAUGAAAGCAUUCCUUCCUAAUGUGCCCAUAGUAUUUACAGUUGUCACAGUAUUUGAAGGUAUCCAAUUUCUUUCCAUUCUUACUGUAAAGCCCUUUUCCCUCUUCUUUUUCAUUAGCCUUUUUGGCAAAUAGGGCAGAGGUUUCUGUUUUGGAUUUAUCAUCCCUGAAAUUUAUUUUCUGGUUUUCUUCUUGUAUAAUAAGAUAGAAAACCUUGCUCAUGCUUGGCAAUUCAUCAUAAGAGAGUAUUUGCCCUCUUAUGGUUUUGAAAUCCUCAUUCAGUCCUAAUAGGAACUGAUGGAUUUUAUCUUUCUCCAUUUUAUCAGAGUACUUAGGAGCACAUAUCUUGCAAAAAAUUAUUUCUUCUAGCUCUAUCUUUUGAUUCCAGAGAGCUUUGAAUUUAUCAUAAAAGCUUGUAACACUAUCAUUACCUUGAUGCAAAUUAUUGAGUUCAUACCUUAUUUGGUUAACCUUAGGUGCAUUGCCUUGGUUAUAUCUUUCUUGAAGAUCCUUCCAUGCUAUGUAAGCUUCUUCAGUGUGCAUUAGCGUGGAUGAGAUUUGAGGAUCAACACUAUUUACUAUCCAUGAUAGUACUAGUCCAUUCACUGUUUCCCAUGCUUCAAACUCCCUCCCUGAUCUAUCCUCUGGUCUUUUAACUUUUCCAUUAACAAAAGCUAUUUUCCUUCUUGAAAUCAAUGAUAACUUCAUAGCAUUGGCCCAACUUUGAUAAUUUGAUUCACCCUUUAGUUUGUCAGCCACCAUGAGAGCUCCUGGAUGGUCACCUGAAUUCAAAUAGUAAAUUGACUCUUUAUCAUUUAUAGCAGAGACAUAUGCAUGUGACCUCUUGUGUUUGGAGCUGUGGGAUGACUUGUGGGUGUGGGUUCUGUGCUGCUUGGAUGAAGCAUGAUUUUUCCGAGAAGGAGAUUUCAUAAUUGAUGGGGGAGAUGGGGAACCUGAUGGACUUGAACCGGAUUGAUUCUCCCUGUCCUGAGUGCCGAUGGAUUCUUUUCCUGCGGAAGCGUAGUCGAUCUUGCCAGUAGAUACCACGUUAAAAAGCUGACGUUGAUCCAACGGCGGGAUUGGGAGAUGGGAGACGACUCCGGCGACAAAGCUCGCCGUCCGGCGAGAAAUAGAAUGAGAAAGAGGGAAAGAAGUAGGUUAAUUAGAUUAACUACUAAAGUAGCCGUUAUACACUGUAGAAGUGUAAUUAGCUACUAAGUGUGUAAUCUGUGUAAAAUCAUAUAUCUUAAACUUGUUAAUUACAAGAGUUAUUUAAACUGAAAUUAACACUAACUAACUUAACUAAUACAACUAAUAACAUUAAUCGGUUAAUUGGAUCUUUAAUCAGACAUUGAUCCAAAUACCCAAUUACCCAAUUACUUUUAUUUAAGUGGGUAAACUUGCAGUUUGAUCCUCGUACUCUUCUAUAUUCUUUUACGGCCUUUAAGUGGGUAAACUUGCAGUCCAGUCCUUGUAUUUCUUUUAUUCUGUUAAGUGGGUAAACUUGCAGUUUUAGUCCUCGUUCUUUUGUAUAAUCUUUGAUGGCCUUUAAGUGGGUAAACUUGCAGUCCAGUCCUCACGUUCCUUUUUAUUUUGUUAUUUGUUUUUAAGUGGUAAAGAUUGCACAUUGAACCUUACAGUUUCUUUCUUAGUUAAAACUGUAAGUAUCUCUGUUUUACUUAUUCUCAAUUAAGUCCAAUUCAGUAAUUAUGUGUUAAUUACUUCUUUAGACUCGUCAUUGGAGUCAUAUGUUGCGGUUGCGGAGCUAGCUGUUUCCGUUCUUAAACCUUGAGGAUAAGGUCGUGCUUGAAAAGGAGGGAGAUGAUACUGAUAAAAUCAUAAUCGUGGUUAGGAUUAACACAUAUUAAAAAGAAUGGAUCAAAAUAGAGAAUCAACAAUAUUCACAGACAGUGGCCGGAGGCACAGUUGAAACACAAGAGUCGCGAGAUUUAGGAACGGGGUUUCCCUAUUUUUGUAUUAAUAAAAUAAAAUGCGAAAAGUUAAAUUACAAAUAAUGUAUUAUCCUAUUUAUAUUAAACCCUAAUUACCUAAUAUUUAGUUGGCUCAUUUGAUAUACAAAUUGAAAAUUCGUGAUGGCUUUUAGUCCAUUUACUUUAAUAGAUACGAGAGAGAUCGACUAUGCAACUAUAUCGGAGGAUAUCCAGAAGUUAUAAUAUAUAAUGAUUUAUAAUAUAAAUAUAUAAUAUAUAAAUAUAGAACAAACAUCAGAGAAGCCCACACCAAGAGAAGCUCAAAAGCGUCCUCUCAUCUGGGCUGUCGAAAUUUUAAAAUUAGUUUGUGAAAUGGAUGAUUGAAUGUGAGCUGUUCAUUAGUGUAAUGAUAAAUUUUAUCUUAAAGCAUGUUUUAUAGUAGGUUUUGAUGUCUGAUUUUGUACUAUUAUGUCUCAAAAAUCUUCCAUAAGACUCACAUCUUCUCUCUCACAACUGCCAUUUCUUCGAAAAUCACUAUUCAUCUCUAUUUUCCCACCAUCACCACUCUCUCUCAUUUCUUACACUUUUUCGUUUUCUCCCAUUUCCUUCCAUUCUCUCUACCGAAGUCCGUUGUCUCUCCGGUAAAGUGUUCCUCGAACAAUGUUUCCGCGCCAUUAGUAUUUGUGGUCGUCUUUGUCGGUCUCUAUUUCCGCUGUCGCCGUCUCAGUUUCCGCGUUCGCCGUCUCUGUUUCCGCGUUCGCCGUCUUUCCUGUCACUACGUGUGGUUCCUGUCGCCGGUUGUCUUUCAUCUUGUCCUUUGUCCUCGCCGAUCAACAAAAGGUUAGUGAUGUCCUCGUUUUCAGUUUUUUGUUUUUUAAUGUUCACCAUUCUCCCUUCCCGAUUUCUCCGAAUCCAACUCCGACCACUCUUCCAAUGUCAACUUAUUUUUGUACAUUAUGUUUUUGCUUUUUUUUAACUAUUAGUGUUUUUGAUUCUUUAUCAUAUCUCCCCAACCCCUUCUUCUCUGUUUUUUAUUAAAUUAUGUUGAUGUCGUAAAUGUCGUGAUUUAUGUUCUUCCCCCCUUCGUCAUCUCUGAUAAUUUGUCUUUAUUUUUUUUCCGUACGUAAUAUCCUUUUUAUGAACCCAUGUUGUAUUUUUUAUUCUGAAUGUAUCGUGUUCAUUUAUAUGUCAGACGUAUUAUUCCCCAAUACGUUCAUGUAGUCCCCGAAAUUCAUGAGUUGUAUUUCGAGAAGUAGUUGAUUUCCUUAUGUUUGUGUUCCGUAAUUUUUUUUUUUGCAAACAUAAUAUCAUUUCAUAUUUGAAUCCUGCUUGUUUUAUGUUGUGUUGUUUUCAUACAUAUGGAUGCUCGAAGAGGAACAGGCGGUCGCGGACGUGGUCGCAAUACUACUGGUCGUCGGGGACUACUGGUCGUGGACGUGCUUCCAUGCCCACGAUGGACUUCCCCCCAAUAAUGGUGUCUCCUCUUACAUUCGAUUGCACAUAUUACAUUGGAUCUACGAAUUGCCGCGUCCCGCGUAGAAGAAGAAGUAGAUAUCCCGUCAAUGGUAAGAUUAGUAAGCAGAUAUUUGUAUUUAGUGAUGCAUAUGAUAAAUUGACAGUGUCAAUUGUACUAUGACAGAAAUUCCUGAAAUUUCGCCUAUGCUUGCAACGCUGAUUCCACAGCGAGUGCCAGUUCCAAUACAAGUUGUGGAUGCUUCGUCGUCUAGACCACCCUUUCCUGUUCCUGAAUUUGUACUACAGGAACUUCAGACAUCUGGUCUACGCCCUAGACCCGAUGAAUACGUGUUUGGUCUUGGCACACCCUUCGCUGAGUCAGAUACGGAGAAGUCUGUAUUGAAGAAAAAGGCGACUCGGAAGAUUAAGAGAUGCGAGGUAUGAAGUUAAUGUUAUUGUUCGAUAGUAGUUGAUGUUAUUGUCCCCUUAUCAGGUAUUUUCAUUGUUCAAUUGUUGGUUAAUGUUAUUGUUCCGUUAGUAGUAGGUGAUUCAUUGCUCCCGUAGUAUGUGAGGUCAUGGUUCGUUAUGUAGUGCAAGGCGUUGUUCGUUGAUGUUGUGUAGUCGUUGUUCCUCAAAUCAUUAGUCCUCGCGUCGGUCCAUUCGUAGCUACUGAUGUCGUUUAUUACUAUAGUUUGACCUGUUAGAAUGACAAAAAAUUCUUCGUACAGGUCGCAGGUACAAGACAUCCCCUAUGACGGAGAUUUCCGACUCGUUCGAUCCAUCAACGAUUCAGUGCAACCAACUAGGAAAUGUACCGAAAGGUAAUUACGAUGCAGAGAAUGAAUCGUCAUUGCGUGAGGAGAACAUCGACGAGUUGGUUCGAGAAGUCGUCGAAGAAUACGUACUGAGGGUGGUUGCCGAAGUUGCCAGCCAGGAGGACGUAAUUAUUUUUGAUGUUGUUGUCGACUCUGUUGAAGGUAAAGUAUGUGUUUUCGUGAAAUUAAAGUUAUUUGACGUGGUUGAAGUAUUGUGCAUUAUGUAAUAGUAGUUGAUGUUGUCGCAACGGUUGAAACCAUUGUACUUGUAAUGGUUGAAUGUGAAGUUCACUUAGUUGGUAUAUCGAAUGUUCGUGAAGUGUUGUUGAACGUUGUUCCUAAAGUGUUUGAAACUAUUGUUCCUGAAAUGGUUGAAGAAAAGAUUCCUGAGGAUGUAAGAAGUAUUGUUCCUGAAGUGCUUCAAAACAUUGUUCCUGAAGUGGUUGUGGAAGAGGUUCCUGAUAAUGUGAGUAGCAUUGUUCCUGAAGUGCAUGAAGACAUUGUUCCUGAGGUGGUUGUUGAAGAGGUUCUUGAAGAUGUGAGAAGCAUUGUUCCUGAAGUGCUUCAAACCAUUGUGUCGGAAGUGCUUGAAGAAAAGGUUCCAGAAGAAGUGAUCGAGAAGCAUUGUUCCUGAGGUGCUUCAAACCAUUGUUCCGAAAGUGCUUGAAGAAGAGGUUCCUGAAGAAGUGAGAAGCAUUGUUCCUGAAAUGCUUAAAACCGUUGUUCGUGGAGAUGAAGUUGGAAAUGAAGUUGAUAUUGUUGAAGAUGAAGUUGUUGAAGAGGUUGGUGAAAGAUUAUUGUUGAAGCGAGGGUUGCCGUUGAAGACAUUCUUGACGUCCCUGACGUAGACGUUCUGUGUCCCCCAAAAUCCAAAGUGAAGAUUACUGCUGAAAAGAGAAGAUUAGAACCCCUCCUCAAGAUGAUUUGUUGGAUGAAGUAAGAAAUGUGAAAAUGUAGUUGCUUUUAAUUUUGAAAAUGAUGAAUGACUAUAACGACAUUCGUGAUAUAGAUGAUUAUGACAGACGCUGUGGAGAUUGCGUCUACUUUAGAAAGUUCAGAGUUCAGAAGACUUAGUGCAAGUAAGGUUUCCUUUUGAGUGUAUUCAUUUCCGUGAAUCUAAUUGUUUAGAAAGUGCUAUAAUUUGUUCAAACAAAUUUCUGAAAAUUGUAGAGAAAGUCAAAGACAUAGGCAAAGGGAAAGUAAAUGGUAAUGUUCAAAUAAAUUUUGCAAAUGAAAAUUGUUAUGACCAUAUGAAAUAUUAUAAAUUGUAGAGGUAGUCAUAUUGUCUGAUAGUCCGGUUACUAGAAGUCGUAGUAAAGGAAUAGCUGAGAAACGACCUUUGCAGAGUUGAAAGUUAGAAAUCAUUGGGUCGCACUCUCGGUUGAAGAAAGCAAAAACCGUUAGUGAUAGUAAGAUAACUCAAUUCUACCACUGUAAAUGAAAUAUGUUUUUCUAUCAUUUUAUAAAUUUGAGGUGAUAUUAUUUGUCUGAAUUGAUAUAUAGAUGAGGGUAGUCAUGCAUCAAUUGACGUUGAAAUGAAAGAGAAGUCGAAUAAGAAGAUAAGCAAGGCGUCUACCUCAAAGAAUUCUACGGAAACGAAUGUUUCGUUUCCUCGUGAAUUAACGCGAGGCACUGAGACUUGUAAGUUUAUCAUUGAAUAUUUAAAUAUUGUUGAUGUUAAUAAUGUUUUACUGCAACAUAAAAUAUGACUUCCUAUUUUUCGUUAUUUGCAGCUGCUUUCUUAAUUCAACACAGAUGUCGCAUCGCGACAUAUAUGACUGCAAUGAAGGAUGUCGCCUUAGAAAAGUCUGUGUCUGAAAGGAUAUUGGGAACUCCAUUCAGACACUUCCUGACAGUCCAGUCUAUGGUUGUUAACAGUUUUCAGUUGGACGAUUUAUGUGGGAGAUUUAUAAGUAAUUAUACUCUUGAAUUGAAGAAGAAGUGCGAGUGACUGUAGAAGAUGUGGGGAAAAUUCUCUCUAUUCCAUACAAAGGUACCUCCAUUGAUCUAAAUCGAGCUAGCAAUGGCACUCAGUUAUGGCGUAAAUUUUUCGAGAAGAGCAGGAGGACUAAGGGAAGACGCGCAACGACUAUCUCUUGGUACAUUUUUUAGUAUAUUGUAUAAUUUAAAAAAUAUUGUAUGAAUUUAAUGGUGUGACUGUCUAUGAAUGCAGCAAGGAUGCGAUUGCGACGCUGCAAAACCAGAGUAGAAUACCUUGCGCCUCAGAAGAGGAUGUAGACGACAUGUGUAGUCUUUGGUUAGUUGUAAUUUUUUGCACAUUUCUACUUCCAUCCAGCAAGAUGGGCUUAAAUGGCAGGGUGCUGUCUUACAUUGACAAUUUGAACGAGUUGCAUCUGAUUAAUUGGGUUGAAUGCGUCAGAUACCUCAUUUUUACAAAUAUGAGAGAGUGCAGAAAAGCAGUUUUAAAACGUGAGGAAGACAAAUCCAUUUCUAAACCAUAUCUCUUCGGUUGCACUCUAGUUCUAAAUGUAAGUAAUUAUUUGGAAGCACUAAUGUUUGUCAAUUUGAUAUUGAUAAUAGGUUCCUUUGGUUGCAGAUUUGGUUGUGGGAGCGUGUUGUUCUGUGGGUGAAGCCUAAACCGAGGGCCGACCAUGUGUAUGAGAAAUGACAGGGCGUACAAGACAAUCAUCGACAGACCCUACAAUCACUGAAGAGCCGUCAUGUAAGUAAAAAGAAGGCAUGACUUCCGACAUUUUAAUAUUUCAUUUAUUUUAGAACUUGCAGACAUUUAUAAAAUUUAAACGAACGUAGGUGUCAGUCAUGCCUUCGAUCAUCUUAUGAACUUGAAUGUCCGUCGGAAGAAGACGAUUCAGAUGAAGAAGAAGUCAUUGAAAGAUCAAGUGCAAGCGAUGAAGAGGAUUUCGACUCUCAGGUCUAUGAUCUUCUAACGCCUCAAUUUAUUAAAACCGACUAUGAGAGGUUGUGUAAUUGUAAAUAGUACAAUAUUUCGAAGAAAAAAUGUUGUUGGUUAAUGAAAAUGUAUUUUUUGAAAUAUAGCUUGAAAUAGUUUUGAUUAUUAUAGGUCGAAAGUUGUUACAGGAAUGAUUUCAUCCCGUACGUGAAAGUGGUUAAGAUUGAGGAAUCGCACGACAAGUUGUCUGAAUUAUCCGGUUUGACGGGAUUCAUGAGUCCGGUACGUAGAAGUGAAGAAUACAAUAUUGGACGACAUAUUAAAAGAUUGAGGAAAUCGUUCGACAGUAGUCCUGUUGAAAGACGAUAUGUUGUUCCAAUUGAGCAUAGUCCAGUACUGACAGCCUCCAAUAGUCGUGUUCCCGAAGAUGAGGUUGUUGUUGUUCCUAAAUUCGAAAACAGUCUUCCUAUGGUAGACUUAAUCACACCGGAAGACGGUAAGGCUAGAGAUGAUGUUAUAUAUGUACUUAGCCUGAUAGAGAGUGAUGAGACGCAUCUGAAGAUUAAGAAAAUAGAUUUGAAGAGAGUGGGUAGAAAAUUAAAGUACGACCAUUUGGUUGAGUGUCCUGUUAUUAAAAUGACUGGAAAAGAAUUUGUAAACAUAAUGAGUGGUUAUUUCGAAGUCUGCCCAAGCCGCUUGACAUUUAGUCCGCCGGAUAAGAACAGUUCGCUGGCUGAUUACAUUGAGAAUUCGAAUGGUCCGAUUUCGGAAGAUACAUUAUUCGAGGACCUGCAAGUACAUCUGAGGUGUAAUGCGUCUCUAAAACCUCCAUGGUCUUACUGUAAGUCUGUUCCCUUUACUCCUAAACGUAGGACGACACCAAAACAUUUGCGAAAGAAAAUGUCGGACUAUUGGAGGUUAGACGAGUUCGGAGUACUCCAAAUCCGGACACCAAAGACCACGACAGCACCUGUUGACGGUUCCCCGAAGACCCCCGAAGGAGUUGGUAAAGUUUUGGAGUACUCUCCAAAAUUUUGGGAUUCAGCGAUUUGACAUUGUUCUCAAAUUGAAACCAAUAUUGCUAACGAAGAACACCAUGAGGUGGAAUUAGAAGAAAGCAAAUCUGAAAAAUCAGGAAUGGAUGUGGGAGAAAGUAAUGAGGGCAGAGUCAAUGAAACCUUGACGUUUGAAGUAAUUGACGGACCGGGAUAAGAUUUGAAAACCUUUGUUCAUUACAAUAUGAUUUGAUUGCAUCAAUUGUCCGCCAAAUGUUGUAGGUGUAAGAAAAAAAAUUAUUGCUACAACAAUCGUUGUUGCAAUGGUCAGGACAUUGUCGGCAUUGCAUAGAAGAAAGUCUACAACGAAAGGGUGAGAAAUUAUUCCGAUGCGUAAAAAAAAAAGUUCUAUUUAAAAAUGUUUGACUUGUUUUGGAACAGAGAGAGAUUGUCAGAUUGCAAUGAUAUUGAUGGAUAAAGUGUCAGAAAGUGACAAUUUACUUAAGAGCUAGUCUAGAAUUUUCUUCUUUUAACAGCAUGUGUUCUUUCGAACUGAGAAGUAACAUGUAGAAGUUUGUUUUCCCUAACAUGAGAGGUUCCCUCAUAUAUGUAAGUCUUUCAGAGCUUUCCAUACCUUGUGUGUUGUAUCUACACACUGAAUCCUACUGUACUCAGAUUCAUUAAGUACACCGUAGAGUGAGUUUAAUGCUCUUGAGUUGUUGUAUUCUUUGAGAAUAUUUAUUUUUUCAUAAGUCUUUUCUUUGCUUGUUGGAAUCUCAUAAUCUUCCAAUAUGAUUUUCCACACUCCAUUGUUGAUUGACUUCAAGUAUAACUUUAUCUUGUUUUUUCAGAAAUCAUACUUUAAUUUGAUCCGUUGAACAUGAGAGGUUUGUUCGACGCAAGACCACUACUGUGUCCACCAUUAAUUUGAUGUCAUAGUUGUUGAUGUGGGAUGUUAAUCUGAUUUCAACGGUACUUGAUUCUGAUACCACUUAUUGGAUCAUGAUCCAAGGAUAAAAGGGGAGUUAUAAUAGUCUCUUUUCGUGUUUUACAGAUUAUUAACGGAAUUUACCUGUAAAUACUUAAUAAAAUAAGAUUGAAAAGUAAUAAUAUUAUAUGACUUAAUUUAAUGGACCAAAUGACUGAAUAUAAAAUUGAAAUAGAAAAUUAAACUUGACCAGAUGAUUGGAUAUGAAUUUAAACAAGAAUGUUAACCUCAGAUAACUGACCAGAUUACUGGAUGAAAGAUCUCUGAAAAUAGUAAACCUCUUUUCUUUGACUAGAUAACUGGAAGAGAGAAUCUUUUAAAUUUGUUAUUACUUAAUUGGUUUUAGGCAAUUAAUAAUAUGUAAGCUUAAAUUAAAACUAACAAAGAAUAACACAAGCUACAUUGAGGAAACCAUAUAUAAAGCAUAGAAUAGCUAGCUUUUGGGAAAACCAGAUCCGAUCCCCUUUUCAUUUCAUAUCAUUGUCUUUAUAUAGUUUUAUAUUUAACUGAUAUUCAGUUAUUAUUUAAUCUAGAAUCAUCUAAAACUGUCAUACUACUGAUUCGUAUAUUUGUUAUUGCGUUUACAUAAAUUAAAACUAACAAAGAGUAACACAAAAGAUUUACAAUGGUUCAUCCAAAUAAGUGUUAACCAAAUCCUAAUAAAAUCGGAGAUUACUGGUCUAAAAAUUAUAGCAAUAAGCGGCGAAUCCAGGAUUUUUUUUCUUCAAGGGCUAAUUUUAAAUCAUUUAAUCAAAUUCAAAAAAAUAAAAAAAAAUCAAUCCAAUUGUUCUCGACGAGGUGUCAUUCGUUCUUUAGUAGAUAUGUCUCGAGCUUCAUCAAGUAAUAAUGAAAAAUAAGAAUCAUUAAGUUUUUCAAUCAAUUUCUUCGUUGUUUCCUCAGCUGCACAACGACAUAUUUGUUUUUGAACUGUUGAGCUAGAAAGUGUAUUAUUUUUAGGAGCAUUGUCCCACAAUUUUUUAAAAUCAGCAUGGAUUUCCCCCAAAGCCUUCCAAAAACCCAAAUAAUUGUCUCGAUUCAAUAAACUUUCUGACUCAUUAUGACCACAAAAUGCUUGACCAUAAAUUAAGAGAUAUUUAACAAUAACAAUUAUAGUUUGUAACUUCUGUUUGUAUUCUGCCCGAGCCACUGAAGAAUGUCGAUCGAAAUGAGUUUCAAUGUGUUGAUUUUGAUUCAUCAAAAAUUCACAUUUACUCUUUGCAACAUUGUGAUGACUAUUAUUGAUUUCUUCCAACAUGUUGUUUCAAAUAUUCUGGUUUAUUUUAUUUAGAAAAACCUCUAGCUGCAAAACAUGAUCAAUCUAAAAGGAAAAACAACAUUAAUGAUUAAAAAAAUCAAUUAAGUUAUAAAGAAAUUAAUAAACAAAUUUUACUUACAAGUAAAAGCAGUUUCAUUUGUUUUCGGGAAUAAAUAACAACAUAAACAAAAAACGACGUCUUUUAAAAUGUUAUAUUCAAUCCAUGAUUCAUAUUUGUCAAACCACAAUACACAAAAUCUUCUAGAUUGAUUUUUAAUCCUCUUCAAUGGAAAUUCAGGUUGGCGUGGUUGACAAGGUUUCUUUUGUAAAUAAUAUCUUCUUAUUUAAUCUCGAUCAUUUAGAUGAUAAUCAUUUGGAUGAUAAUCAUUUGGAUGAUAAUCAUUUAUCUUCUUUUGCAAUCUCGGAUCGAAAGGUAAAUUACUUACAUCGAGUCGCCCUUUAGAUGGUGUGGAUUAGAUAAUGGAGUUUAAAUUGGUUGAUUUAUUUUAGGUCUUUUGAUCACAAAUUUAUCCAUUGAUUAUCUAUAUAAAAAAAAGAUUUAUAUUAAUAACAAAUUUAACAAUAAAAAAUGUAGACAAAAAUACCUUUAUUAUUUUUCUUUGUAUGAAGCUAUGGUCACGAAAUCACGUGAAAUGGAGAAAAAGAAGUCAAAAAUUAAAUGAAUAGUGUGGAGAUGGAGGAAAAAAAUGAGGAAUAAAGAACGAAAUUUUUAAAUUCCUAAAUAUAUAUGGACAAUUAUGGUAAAUAUAGUAAUAAAUUAAUUAUUAAUAGGAUAAUGAUUUAUAAACAAAAUAUUUUAUAUUAUUAUAUUAUAUUAUAAAAAUAAAAUAAAAUAUUAUUAUAUCUUAUAUUAUUAUAUUAUAUUAUAUUAUAUUAUAAUAUAUUGUAUUGUAUUAUUAUAUUGAUAUAUUAAACAUUUAAGCGGUGGAGAUGGAGAUGGUGAUGGGAAACAAAUUUCUAUACCUAUAAGAUUUUUUAUUUUAUUUUUGUAAGGAUCCUCAAAUCCCCCUACAUUCGCUGCUGAUGACAAUACCUUUCUUUUGUAAACUUUUUGGCUACACCACUUACGAACCUAGUCUAUUACGUUGACUUAAACUUUAGAGUAUUUAAAGACACUCUUAAAAACCUUUAUAAACUUUUAUACUACUCCGUUUAUGAACCAGUCUUUUACGGGUAAACUCACACCUUAUAGUAUUUAAAGACACUCUUAAAAACCUUUCAAAUCUUUGCAGGUAGACUUGAAACUUUAGAUUAUUCAAAAACACUUUUAAAAAUCUUUGAAUCUUUGAUAUAGAUUAACUUAAGAGCAUUUCAAAAAACUAUAAAAAACCAAACUUAAGAGUUUUUUGUUUCUACGGUUGAAUGAGAAAACUGGUCUGGGUCAUAUACGGCCCAAGAAGCCAAAAGUCCAACCACACAUCGGCUCUGAACAUAGACUCACGCAUUUUUAGACUAACCCUAGUUUGAGCACUUUCCGCACCUACUACAAAAUCUUUAAUUCAAUAACGGUUAACCGUCUCAUCUCAACCGUCUAUUCCGUUAAAUGGUUUCCGUUUAUAAAACCACACCUCGAUUCACGAAUCUCAAAUCAAUGGUUUUUUAAUUUCUUAUUCCCUUUCUUUCUUUCUUUCUUUCUUUCUUGUAGAUUUCGUCCUUACCAAACGACGGGCGACGGUUAUGGUUGCGGCGUUUGUUUUGAUUUUUUGGUGCAGGUAGAUUUUCUUUGGUCAUCUCGGUUAUGCUGUCAUGGUGGAUUUGCAUUCCCUUCGGAUCCAGAUCUGAUCAAGGCGAUUUAGCGGAGAAAAAGAAAGGAUGCUGCCUGCGAUCUCGAUUUGACUUUUUAGCAAAUGAUGGUGAACGAUUGAUUGAUUCUCUUUGUUGAUGAAUUGUCGAUUAAUGUGUAUUUGUGAUUACGAUGUGUCAUAACAACUCGAUCUUUGCCAUGUUGGGUGCGCUCGCAUGGCAGAUCACCGGAAACUUUAAUAAAGUUCAGUUUUUUUGGUUGGGAGAGAAGACCACGGUUGGAUAGUUUUUUUUAUAUCCCCGGGGUCUUUCUCUCCAUGGUGGCAUGGUCUUUAUUUUUUUUAUCGUCUUUUUCCAUGGUUUCUGUUUCGUCUCUUUCUAUCUAUCGUCUCACGACAAGAGUUUUCCGAUCGAUUCGAUUCUGAGCCAGGUCGAACUGGUAAAUGAUUUAUUUUUCAUAAGUCGAUUCCAUACGUUCCCUCAAAUCACAAACCCCCAAAAAUUGCAUACCAUCAUUAAAUUAUUCAUACUAAAUUAAUUGCUCACGGAUCUAAUUUACUGUGUAUUGAAGAAUUUGAUGUCGUUUUCUAUUUUUUUUGUUUGUUAAUUUUGUCAAUUGUAAAUUUUCUAUCCUACAUCUGUAAGAGUUUUUUUGUACCUCCAUAUUUGUUACAUUUGUAUAAUUUAUUUGCUGUGCAAAGUCUUGACGGUUGCUGUUUGUGGCUCGUGGCUUGAUGAUGUAUUGAUUGAAGAAAAUCUUGCUAUGGAUGGUGGAAGAGUGGCUGGUUGCUGUUUGUUCCCGUGACUUGAUGAUGUUUUGUUUGAAAGAAAAUCUUGCUGUGGAUGAGGGAAGACUAACUGGACUGCACAGGUUGUUUUAAUUACAACUUCACAAUUUCUACAUUACUCUUCUUUUUGUCAGAAAUUAAGUAUCUGGGUUUAUAUUUUUCAAUCAUUGUGAGUUUUUCAUUUUUUUCUUAAUACAGUUUUAUCCUAUUUUGGUUAUUUACAGUAAUUUGCUCAUUAAUCUGGCUUUCAAUUUAUUUCAAUAUCUUUAAAUAUUACACUUCUUUUUGUCAGAAAUCAAGUACUGAGUUUAUAUUUUUCAAUCAUUGUGAUCUUUUCAUUUUAUUGGUAAAACAGUUUUAUCCUAUUUUUGUUAUUUUCAGCAAUUUGCUCAUUAAUUCGGCUUUCAAUUUAUUUCAUUCUCUUUACAUAUUACAUGAUUCAGAAGACCCAAUUGUUCUUUAACUCCGCCCAUGGUGUAUUAGAAGUAAACCAUUGCCGGUCCCCAGCCCGGAACAAAGGAGGAGGGAAGGAUAUCAUAUUUAUGGUAGAUCGUUGUUUUUUUUACUCUUAUGAUUUUUUUAAUCCCAGUAGUUACAUAUUUCUAAAUAUUUGAGUGAUUUUACCAUGAUGAAAAGAUAUGGGAGGUGGAAUGCCUAUGAUCGUCAAUUCACUUGAUCAUUGAAGUCGUCCUGCUGGAGUUUGAUGAUUUUGUUUCACAAUUUACAUAUAGAAUUACUUGUUUACUAUUUGAACUUGAUUCUUGGUAUUAAAAUAAUUAAAACUAUUGUUUGUUAUUAGAUAUUUUAAUCAGAUUAAUUUUAUAAUUCAAUCGAAAAAUGUAUUGUGUUGGUUCGUGAUUUGUUAAGAUUUCAUAUUUUAUUAUUGAAAGUGCUAAUAGAAG